RNAcentral lists this ribosomal RNA (460 nucleotides) under uncultured bacterium. RNAcentral's name for it is "partial 16S ribosomal RNA". It matches the Rfam family "Bacterial small subunit ribosomal RNA", at positions 338 to 795 of the family's 1533-position model. The record is from RNAcentral.
CCUACGGGGGGCUGCAGUGAGGAAUAUUGGUCAAUGGGCGCGAGCCUGAACCAGCCAAGUAGCGUGAAGGAUGACUGCCCUACGGGUUGUAAACUUCUUUUAUAAAGGAAUAAAGUGAGGCACGUGUGCCUUUUUGUAUGUACUUUAUGAAUAAGGAUCGGCUAACUCCGUGCCAGCAGCCGCGGUAAUACGGAGGAUCCGAGCGUUAUCCGGAUUUAUUGGGUGUAAAGGGAGCGUAGAUGGGUUGUUAAGUCAGUUGUGAAAGUUUUCGGCUCAACCGUAAAAUUGCAAUUGAUACUGGCGGCCUUGAGUGCAGAUGAGGUAGGCGGAAUUCGUGGUGUAGCGGUGAAAUGCUUAGAUAUCACGCAGAACUCCGAUUGCGAAGGCAGCCUACUAAACUGCCACUGACAUUGAUGCUCGAAAGUGUGGGUAGCAAACAGGAUUAGAUACCCGAGUAGUC